GUAGGUGGCAAGCGUUGUCCGGAAUUAUUGGGCGUAAAGCGCGCGCAGGUGGUUCUUUAAGUCUGAUGUGAAAGCCCCCGGCUCAACCGGGGAGGGUCAUUGGAAACUGGGGAACUUGAGUGCAGGAGAGGAAAGUGGAAUUCCACGUGUAGCGGUGAAAUGCGUAGAUAUGUGGAGGAACACCAGUGGCGAAGGCGACUCUCUGGCCUGUAACUGACACUGAGGCGCGAAAGCGUGGGGAGCAAACAGGGAUUAGAUACCCUGGUAGUCCACGCCGUAAACGAUGAGUGCUAAGUGUUGGGGGGGCUUCCGCCCCCUCAGUGCUGCAGCUAACGCAUUAAGCACUCCGCCUGGGAGUACGGUCGCAAGACUG
Molecule: ribosomal RNA, 373 nt
Filed under: uncultured organism
Description: partial 16S ribosomal RNA
Rfam family: Bacterial small subunit ribosomal RNA
Source: RNAcentral